UGAUAAAUCAUCUGACUGCCUUUUAA
RNAcentral lists this small RNA (26 nucleotides) under Bombyx mori (domestic silkworm). Its description in RNAcentral is "ovarian small RNA-32325". The record is from RNAcentral. Lineage: Eukaryota; Metazoa; Arthropoda; Insecta; Lepidoptera; Bombycidae.